ACCUCAAAUCGGGUAGGACUACCCGCUGAACUUAAGCAUAUCAAUAAGCGGAGGAAAAGAAACUAACAAGGAUUCCCCUAGUAACUGCGAGUGAAGAGGGAUAAGCUCAAAUUUAAAAUCUGGCGGUCUUUNGGCCGUCCGAGUUGUAAUUUAGAGAAGUGUUACCCGCGCUGGACCGUGUACAAGUCUCCUCGAACGGAGCAUCAUAGAGGGUGAGAAUCCCGUACAUGACACGGACUGCCAGGGCUUUGUGGUGCGCUCUCGACGAGUCGAGUUGUUUGGGAAUGCAGCUCAAAAUGGGUGGUAAAUUCCAUCUAAAGCUAAAUACAGGCGAGAGACCGAUAGCGAACAAGUACCGUGAGGGAAAGAUGAAAAGAACUUUGGAAAGAGAGUUAAACAGUACGUGAAAUUGUUGAAAGGGAAACGCUUGAAGUCAGUCGCGUCCUUCAAAGAUCAACCUGGCCUUUUCGCUUGGUGCACUCUUUGGAGGACGGGUCAGCAUCAGUUUCGACCGGGAGAAAAAGUUGGUGGGGAGGUGGCACCUUCGGGUGUGUUAUAACCCNCNUGCAUAUAUCNUGGUUGGGACUGAGGAACGCGGCACGCCGAAAGGCCGGACNU
RNAcentral lists this ribosomal RNA (618 nucleotides) under Corticiaceae sp. BESC103p. RNAcentral's name for it is "eukaryotic LSU rRNA". It matches the Rfam family "Eukaryotic large subunit ribosomal RNA", at positions 1 to 618 of the family's 3401-position model. The record is from RNAcentral. Lineage: Eukaryota; Fungi; Basidiomycota; Agaricomycetes; Corticiales; Corticiaceae.